UUGGAAACCAGGAGACCCUCACCUUGAGAGCUGUUGACAAUCAUCUUGCAAAGGGAGAGCCCACCGUGUAUGUAGGAGGAGACCCAUGAAAAGAAGAGACAACGUGGCCUGAGAUCAGAUCUCUUGUCACUUGCAGCUGAAAGAAUUAUCACUGAUAGGAGGUACAAAGUCCUUCUGAAAAGUAAGUACCUUCGAGUAGAAGGAAAUCAAGAACCUUAGUCUUCUUCCAAGGAAGAUGUCGUCAGGAGACAGAAGCAGACCACUGGCAAUUUGAGUUAAUUUGGAAAAUUCUUUCAGAAGCUUCUAGAAAUGUCAAAGAAAAUGGUUUCUUUGUUAGACUAAAGAAACACUCUCCUGAUGAGCAUGGCGUGCCAAGUUGUGCCAUGUCUGCACCCAGGAUCCAAACCAGCGAACCCUAGGCUGCCGAGAAGCAGAACGUGCGAACUUAACUGCUGUGCCACCGGGCUGGCCCCCAAAAAAGAAUACUUUGAAAAAAUCCCUUAAGCAUAAUAGACAAGGAUGUGUUAUGAGUUAACUCAAAUUACUACACAACUGCACAAGCUAAGCAGGACAGAGUGGAAGCUCGACUGGAGAGUCAUGGAAUGAUCUGGUAUGAACGGCCUCUCCGUGUUGGACAGGAGAAAAUG
This 647-nucleotide long non-coding RNA is filed under the name Equus caballus (horse). RNAcentral's name for it is "lncRNA (ENSECAG00000054442.1)". Lineage: Eukaryota; Metazoa; Chordata; Mammalia; Perissodactyla; Equidae. The record is from RNAcentral.